UUAAGUGGCGGACGGGUGAGUAACGCGUGGGUAACCUGCCUUGUACUGGGGGACAACAGUUGGAAACGACUGCUAAUACCGCAUAAGCGCACAGCUUCGCAUGAAGCAGUGUGAAAAACUCCGGCGGUACAAGAUGGACCCGCGUCUGAUUAGCUGGUUGGUGAGGUAACGGCCCACCAAGGCGACGAUCAGUAGCCGGCCUGAGAGGGUGAACGGCCACAUUGGGACUGAGACACGGCCCAAACUCCUACGGGAGGCAGCAUG
Molecule: ribosomal RNA, 264 nt
Filed under: uncultured bacterium
Lineage: Bacteria
Description: partial 16S ribosomal RNA
Rfam family: Bacterial small subunit ribosomal RNA
Source: RNAcentral